Molecule: ribosomal RNA, 468 nt
Filed under: uncultured bacterium
Lineage: Bacteria
Description: partial 16S ribosomal RNA
Rfam family: Bacterial small subunit ribosomal RNA
Source: RNAcentral
GACGAACGCUGGCGGCGUGCUUAACACAUGCAAGUCGAACGGAGAGGCCCUGCUUUUGUUGGGUGCUCGAUUGGCGAACGGGGGAGUAACACGUGAGUAACCUGCCCCUGACUUUGGGAUAACUUCAGGAAACUGGGGCGAAUACCGGAUAGGAGCUCCUGCUGCAUGGGGGGGGAUGGAAAGUUUCGGCGGUUGGGGAUGGACUAGCUGCUUAUCAGCUUGUUGGUGGGGUAGUGGCUUACCAAGGUUUUGACGGGUAGCCGGCCUGGGAGGGUGACCGGCGACCUUGGGCCUGCGGUAGGGACCAGACUCCUACGGGAGGCAGCAGUGGGGAAUAUUGCACAAUGGGCGGAAGCCUGAUGCAGCAGCGCCGCGUGCGGGAUGACGGCCUUCGGGUUGUAAACCGCUUUCGCCUGUGACGAAGCGUGAGUGACGGUAAUGGGUAAAGAAGCACCGGCUAACUACGUG